AGCAGCCGCGGUAAUUCCAGCUCCAAUAGCGUAUAUUAAAGUUGUUGCAGUUAAAAAGCUCGUAGUUGAAUUUCGGGGUUAGUAGGUUGGUCAUGCUUCUGGUAUGUACUGGUCUCACUGAUUCCUCCUUCCUGAUGAGCCGUAAUGCCAUUAAUUUGGUGUUGCGGGGAAUUUGGACUGUUACUUUGAAAAAAUUAGAGUGUUUAAAGCAAGCUAACGCUUGAAUACAUUAGCAUGGAAUAAUGAAAUAGGACGUUCGAUCCUAUUUUGUUGGUUUCUAGGAUUGACGUAAUGAUUAAUAGGGAUAGUUGGGGGCAUUAGUAUUCAAUUGUCAGAGGUGAAAUUCUUGGAUUUAUUGAAGACUAACUACUGCGAAAGCAUUUGCCAAGGAUGUUUUCAUUAAUCAAGAACGAAAGUUAGGGGAUCGAAGACGAUCAGAUACCGUCGUAGUCUUAACCAUAAACUAUGCCGACUAGGGAUCGGAUGAUGUUAAUUUUUUAANG
Molecule: ribosomal RNA, 503 nt
Filed under: uncultured Glomus
Lineage: Eukaryota; Fungi; Glomeromycota; Glomeromycetes; Glomerales; Glomeraceae
Description: SSU rRNA
Rfam family: Eukaryotic small subunit ribosomal RNA
Source: RNAcentral